UACGGAGGGGGCAAGCGUUGUUCGGAAUCAUUGGGCGUAAAGGGCGCGUAGGUGGUCCUGUAUGUCUAUCGUGAAAGCGUACGGCUCAACCGUAUAUGGUCGGUAGAAACUGCAGGACUUGAGGCUGGGAGGGGCUGGUGGAAUUCCCUGUGUAGCGGUGAAAUGCGUAGAGAUGGGGGAGAACACUCGUGGCGAAGGCGGCCAGCUAGACCAGUUCUGACACUGAGGCGCGACAGCGUGGGGAGCAAACAGG
This 253-nucleotide ribosomal RNA is filed under the name uncultured bacterium. Its description in RNAcentral is "partial 16S ribosomal RNA". It matches the Rfam family "Bacterial small subunit ribosomal RNA", at positions 524 to 776 of the family's 1533-position model. The record is from RNAcentral.